This 496-nucleotide ribosomal RNA is filed under the name uncultured bacterium. RNAcentral describes it as "partial 16S ribosomal RNA". It matches the Rfam family "Bacterial small subunit ribosomal RNA", at positions 29 to 507 of the family's 1533-position model. The record is from RNAcentral.
AUGAACGCUGGCGGCGUGCCUAAUACCUGCCAGUCGAGCGAACGGACGAGAAGCUUGCUUUUCUGAUGUUAGCGGCGGACGGGUGAGUAACACGUGGAUAACCUACCUAUAAGACUGGGAUAACUUCGGGAAACCGGAGCUAAUACCGGAUAAUAUUUUGAACCGCAUGGUUCAAAAGUAAAAGACGGUCUUGCUGUCACUUAUAGAUGGAUCCGCGCUGCAUUAGCUAGUUGGUAAGGUAACGGCUUACCAAGGCAACGAUGCAUAGCCGACCUGAGAGGGUGAUCGGCCACACUGGAACUGAGACACGGUCCAGACUCCUACGGGAGGCAGCAGUAGGGAAUCUUCCGCAAUGGGCGAAAGCCUGACGGAGCAACGCCGCGUGAGUGAUGAAGGUCUUCGGAUCGUAAAACUCUGUUAUUAGGGAAGAACAUAUGUGUAAGUAACUGUGCACAUCUUGACGGUACCUAAUCAGAAAGCCACGGCUAACUACGUG